Rhododendron vialii is the source of this 590-nucleotide long non-coding RNA. RefSeq lists it as uncharacterized. Lineage: Eukaryota; Viridiplantae; Streptophyta; Magnoliopsida; Ericales; Ericaceae. The record is from RefSeq and is a predicted model, not a curated record. The transcript is spliced from 3 exons.
CUUCAUUAUUCGCUAUGUAAUGUUGGUUUGGCUUGCGUUGGAUCUUAAGCUUCAUAUUCGGGUUGGUAAAGUUCUAUGAUUUUGAGGACAAUCAAAGCCUCGAUGGAGGUGUUUCAUGUGCAUUACUAUGGUGGACUACUAUGUUCCCUUGUCAUUCGAACAGGUAAUGGGGGUAGGGGCCUAGGGCUUCCAUGAAGAAGAAGCUGAUUUCGGAAAAAGUUGGAUAACCAUGGGAAGCUGAAUGCGAGCAAUCCAGCCGAGUGGUCAAGGAGUGUGGUGGUUCUUCCCAGGGAAGGGGAUUCUGUGGUUGCUGGCCUUGCUUUUGUGAGUAAAGCGGUAACAGUGGUUGCAGAGGUUACCAUAGUGGAGGGAGAAAAGAAAAAGAAGAAAAAACAUAAGGAUAAGGAAGAUGGUGAGGUGGGGCGUAAGAGGAAAUUGGAGGAGGUUGAUGGUAGGCUGGUAGCCGUGCACCACAUGUUGUGAAGAGGGUGAAAGCUGAUGGAGAUGAGGAAACAGUAUUCGUGAAAAAGGAAUUGCAUUGAAGAAAGAAAAGAACAAAGAACAAAGAACAAAGAACAAAGAACAAAGAG